CCCUUUGUAUAAAUUGUUGCACUAACGGCCAGAACAAAUUCCCUUUUUGUUAUGAGACUUGGCAAUAAAACUGUUUCUGAUUCUGAAAGAACAGGCAAACAUUACUCCCAGUGGAUGUAGCCUUACAGAGAAGAAACUACUACAUUAAAUAAUUUCAGCCAAAGAGGGCAACAACAGCUAUUGCAGCUUGGGGUGUGUUUAUUUUUUAUGUACAAUGAAAAUGCAUUUCUGUUAAUAUUUGAUGAACAAAUGAAUACAAAUUAUAAUUUGAGUGUAAUUUGUGACUGUAUACUCACCUAAAGGAUUAUUAGGAACACCAUACUAAUACUGUGUUUGACCCCCUUUCGCCUUCAGAACUGCCUUAAUUCUACGUGGCAUUGAUUCAACAAGGUGCUGAAAGCAUUCUUCAGAAAUGUUGGCCCAUAUUGUUAGGAUAGCAUCUUGCAGUUGAUGGAGAUUUGUGGGAUGCACAUCCAGGGAACGAAGCUCCUGUUCCACCACAUCCCAAAGAUGCUCUAUUGGGUUGAGAUCUGGUGACUGUGGGGGCCAUUUCAGUACAGUGAACUCAAUGUCAUGUUCAAGAAACCAAUUUGAAAUGAUUCGAGCUUUGUGACAUGGUGCAUUAUCCUGCUGGAAGUAGCCAUCAGAGGAUGGGUACAUGGUGGUCAUAAGGGGAUGGACAUGGUCAGAAACAAUGCUCAGGUAGGCCGUGGCAUUUAAACGAUGCCCAAUUGGCACUAAGGGGCCUAAAGUGUGCCAAGAAAACAGCCCCUACACCAUUACACCACUACCACCAGCCUGCACAGUGGUAACAAGGCAUGAUGGAUUCAUGUUCUCAUUCUGUUUACGCCAAAUUCUGACUCUACCAUCUGAAUGUCUCAACAGAAAUCGAGACUCAUCAGACCAGGCAACAUUCUUCCAGUCUUCAACUGUCCAAUUUUGGUGAGCUCGUGCAAAUUGUAGCCUCUUUUCCUGUUUUUAGUGGAGAUGAGUGGUACCCGGUGGGGUCUUUUGCUGUUGUAGCCCAUCCGCCUCAAGGUUGUGCGUGUUGUGGCUUCACAAAUGCUUUGCUGCAUACCUCGGUUGUAACGAGUGGUUAUUUCAGUCAAAGUUGCUCUUCUAUCAGUUUGAAUCAGUCGGCCCAUUCUCCUCUGACCUCUAGCAUCAACAAGGUAUUUUCACCCACAGGACUGCCGCAUAAUGGAUGUUUUUCCCUUUUCACACCAUUCUUUGUAAACCCUAGAAAUGGUUGUGCGUGAAAAUCCCAGUAACUGAGCAGAUUUUGAAAUACUCAGACCGUCUGGCACCAACAACCAUGCCACGCUCAAAAUUGCUUAAAUCACCUUUCUUUCCCAUUCUGACAUUCAGUUUGGAGUUCAGGAGAUUGUCUUGACCAGGACCACACCCCCAAAUGCAUUGAAGCAACUGCCAUGUGAUUGGUUGAUUAGAUAAUUGCAUUAAUGAGAAAUUUAACAGGUGUUCCUAAUAAUCCUUUAGGUGAGUGUAUUUCCAUAUGCCCAAAAACAUAAAAAACUAACUGUUACUCUAGUUUUCUUCCCAAAAACAAUUGCUUCGAAUUCUUCCGCUUCAUAAAAUAGAACAAGCAUGUCUCGCUGACAAAAUUUUUGAAGAGGUCUGAAGAACACAACUAGGUAUUCUGCAUCAAAGACUGCCUGGACUGAUAUCUUCAGACUACAAAGAAUCCUAGGUUACAUGAGAACUGAAGACGGAGAGCACUUAGGGUCCAAGGUUCUAGUUGUUUAGAAACAGUGUUCCUCAGUGUACUCAUCUUGCUUGCGACACAAAACAGUCAGAAGGUGGCCAGAAUGGUAGAAACCGCUGAAGUGCACAAAAUAAUGGAACACAAAAACAGACAAUGCACCAGACCCAGAGUAAUGUAAUGUGUACUGGGCAGCGAACCGCAAAUUGUAUACCAACCCUAGGCUGUGCAAGUCAUCAGGUUCAUCUUUACCACUCAAAAAUGAAUGAAGCUUGCUCAUAGCACCAAGAGGGGCAGGCAAUGUACACUAAGUGCAGUCUUAUAUGUCACUCUGUAGGUUUUGAUUUGUGAUUCUAGACCGACCUAUUUACAAAACACAGCACAAAAUCAGCAGAUCAAACUAUAAGAAAAUGAUCAACACAGCAUUGACGACUCGUUUCUAUUUACACAGAAAUAAAUGAGGCUAUUAGAAUAACAGAAAAGCCAAAUUAUUUCACAGGGG
Long non-coding RNA from Esox lucius (northern pike), 2222 nucleotides. Lineage: Eukaryota; Metazoa; Chordata; Actinopteri; Esociformes; Esocidae. The record is from Ensembl.